UGGCGAACGGGUGAGUAACACGUGGGUGAUCUGCCCUGCACUUCGGGAUAAGCCUGGGAAACUGGGUCUAAUACCGGAUAGGAGCCAUUUUUAGUGUGAUGGUUGGAAAGCUUUUUCGGUGUAGGAUGAGCUCGCGGCCUAUCAGCUUGUUUGUGGGGUAAUGGCCUACCAAGGCGGCGACGGGUAGCCGGCCUGAGAGGGUGGACGGCCACAUUGGGACUGAGAUACGGCCCAG
Molecule: ribosomal RNA, 235 nt
Filed under: uncultured Actinomycetales bacterium
Lineage: Bacteria; Bacillati; Actinomycetota; Actinomycetes; Actinomycetales
Description: partial 16S ribosomal RNA
Rfam family: Bacterial small subunit ribosomal RNA
Source: RNAcentral